GGCAAGAUGGCCGAGCGGUCUAAGGCGCUAGCUUCAGGUGCUAGUGUGGAAACACGCGUGGGUUCGAAUCCCACUCUUGUCA
Molecule: transfer RNA, 82 nt
Filed under: Trichodelitschia bisporula
Lineage: Eukaryota; Fungi; Ascomycota; Dothideomycetes; Phaeotrichales; Phaeotrichaceae
Rfam family: tRNA
About the family: Transfer RNA (tRNA) molecules are approximately 80 nucleotides in length.
Source: Rfam by way of RNAcentral